UGCAUGUUUUUUUUUAACACUACCACACUGUGAAAAGAGAAAAUGAAUUGCACGCUUAUCCCCCCGGGGGAAAAAUCAAAUAAUAUGAUAAAGAUAUUACAUAUCUGGAUGACUCGCCAAACAAGUGUCCAUACACCUCUCCGUUGAUCUUGCAAGUUUCAUCCAAAAAAAGGAAAUUUGACUCGUAGUAUUGUUCUGUAAAAGUCCACAAGGUAGAAGCACCAUCUUGCUAGUUUUGUCUUCGAGGCCUGAACAUGAACAUACACCUUCGAAGAACUGAAUAACUAAACACCUAGCUGCUAGCUAUACCAGUCGUCUCCAUCAAGAACCAACAGCUGCCACCAAUCGCCGAUGGUGCCACUACCACCAAAUCACCUAUACACAUGGCAUGAUGGCCUGGACUCUGUCAGAACAACAUACAAAUGAACUACAUCAGUGUAUAUACAAGCAUUUUACAGAAAGGAAAAAGAACACAUGGAAUGUAUUACCUUUUUUAUUAUAGAAAAGGUUAGAACUAAAAUGUUAUUGGCUGAUCUAGCGGCUAACAUAUUGGUCGCUAGUAACUAACUAUUCAUCAGAGUAAGGAGGAUGAUAGGAGCACUUGAACGAUCAGCAAAUUUAAGUGCCUACACUAACACAAAAAACCUUGUCACUAGGAAUGAAUGUCUUUUGGAGUAAAGGAUAAAUCCAACCUAUUUGGUUUUGAUUUGAGACAAACCUUCGUAGCUAGUUCAGGUCCAGUCUCUACAAGAAGUGGACUAGCAGCGGUCGUUGAGAAAAAAGAGUUGUAACAACAGAGAUUCUUCCGAGGCUCCAAACCUACAUGCAGCGUCACAUUAUGCAGUUGUUAGCAUAUAAGCUAUGGCUGCGGAUCAAGAUAAUUGCGAACAUGAGACUCCAUUUCGUUGUUUGUUGAUGCUGCUAACUGCAGAAGUUCACCAAAAAAUACUAGUGUAAAAAAAAUGGAGAAUUUUUUGAGUUUUGAAAAUACUGACCGCUAGCCUCUCGGCCCGACGAUGUACGCCGGCGCCCGGCGGCGAGGUUCUAAACUCGUGAAUUUUUGCGCAUGUAGACUCGCAAAAACACUCUAGAACACGGAUUAAUCUUUUUGGUGCUGCGCGCUCAACUGCAGCGUUUUCUUCUCUCUACUAUUCUGAAGAACGAGAACACGAAAAACAAUUACAGGUACUGCUCGCUCGACGUGUGUGUGUUCAUGACGCAUCCAUCCCCACGUCCACGCGAAACGGCUGGCUAAAUGUGCGAGCUAAUCACGCACCCACUACUCCUAGAUGGAGACUGCAUUCUGCAUAUGCAUUUCUCGAGAUAAGAAGUGAUAGGAGAGUAAAAUAUUUUGUUUUUCAUAAUCUGUUCAGGUAGAGUUUUCUGAAAAUCACAUUUGUUAUUUUUCCAUUAUAUCCCUUACUGAUCUAGCAAAUUGCCGUGUAAUAUAAGAGUAAAGUGCCCCCCCCCCCCCCCCCCAAAAAAAAUAUUUUUGAUAUUUGCACCCCCGUCCCCCAACCCAAACUGAAGUUUUGGCUUUCAGCUUCAAAACGAGUAAUGUGAGCAAGGAUGAACAAUGUUGAGUCAAUGAGUCACAUACUUAUCAUCAGUUGUUUUCAACUCAGUCCACGCUACAAAAAUUCAAAGUAAGAAAAGAACACAAGGUUACCAGAAAAAUGGUCCUGCCUUAGCAUUGUGGCGCAGUUUUCUGAGCGUUCACCUAGCGCAAGAAACAUAACUUCAUAUGGGAACAGUGAGCUCUACCAAUAACAGGAAUUCGAUACAAACUUUUACUCCCCACAUUCUAAAUUAUAAGUCAUUGCAGCUUUCUAAGAGAGUCAAAACAUCUUAAGUUUGGACAAAACUAUAGAGAGAAUUUCAAUACCCUAUAACAUCAAAAUAGACAUAUUAUAAACGAUAAUUAACGAAGAAUCUAAUGCUACUUAUUUGGUAUCUUAGAUAUCAUUAUUCAAUUAUAUAAUUUUGUUAAAUUUGAUUUGCUUUGACUCACAUUGUUUUUAUUAUAUAAAUCUGGUACCGUAAUUCAUGAAAGCAAUCUGUCGAACACGCUGUGGGCGGCACGUCGCACUCCUCUGGCCACCACACGAGCAGGGGUUGCUCAGGACGCGCGCCCUCGUGGCCGACGUCGCUGCGUCUCAAUCUCAUCCGUCGAUGUCGUCCCCUCGGUCGCACCCAGUCCAUCCACGUCGGCCUCCGCGGCGUGCCCGGCCAUGGCCAACUCCGGUCACUCACGUCACGCGGGGCGAGCGGCGGGCGCGGGCAGCCAGGCCGGCACAGGGGCGCGCCAGCACGUGAAAAUCCAGGACCGCCGGCUUGCGGUGGGUUGUGU
This 2350-nucleotide long non-coding RNA is filed under the name Zea mays. RNAcentral's name for it is "long non-coding RNA (ZMAY_LNC001747)". Lineage: Eukaryota; Viridiplantae; Streptophyta; Magnoliopsida; Poales; Poaceae. The record is from RNAcentral.